RNAcentral lists this ribosomal RNA (1632 nucleotides) under Salmonella enterica subsp. enterica serovar Telelkebir. Its description in RNAcentral is "partial 23S ribosomal RNA". It matches the Rfam family "Bacterial large subunit ribosomal RNA", at positions 1187 to 2802 of the family's 2925-position model. Lineage: Bacteria; Pseudomonadati; Pseudomonadota; Gammaproteobacteria; Enterobacterales; Enterobacteriaceae. The record is from RNAcentral.
CCAUGCACCGAAGCUGCGGCAGCGACACUCAGGUGUUGUUGGGUAGGGGAGCGUUCUGUAAGCCUGCGAAGGUGGCCUGUGAGGGUUGCUGGAGGUAUCAGAAGUGCGAAUGCUGACAUAAGUAACGAUAAAGCGGGUGAAAAGCCCGCUCGCCGGAAGACCAAGGGUUCCUGUCCAACGUUAAUCGGGGCAGGGUGAGUCGACCCCUAAGGCGAGGCCGAAAGGCGUAGUCGAUGGGAAACGGGUUAAUAUUCCCGUACUUGGUGUUACUGCGAAGGGGGGACGGAGAAGGCUAUGUUGGCCGGGCGACGGUUGUCCCGGUUUAAGCGUGUAGGCUGGUUUUCCAGGCAAAUCCGGAAAAUCAAGGCUGAGGCGUGACGACGAGGCACUACGGUGCUGAAGCAACAAAUGCCCUGCUUCCAGGAAAAGCCUCUAAGCAUCAGGUAACACGAAAUCGUACCCCAAACCGACACAGGUGGUCAGGUAGAGAAUACCAAGGCGCUUGAGAGAACUCGGGUGAAGGAACUAGGCAAAAUGGUGCCGUAACUUCGGGAGAAGGCACGCUGACAUGUAGGUGAAGUGAUUUACUCAUGGAGCUGAAGUCAGUCGAAGAUACCAGCUGGCUGCAACUGUUUAUUAAAAACACAGCACUGUGCAAACACGAAAGUGGACGUAUACGGUGUGACGCCUGCCCGGUGCCGGAAGGUUAAUUGAUGGGGUCAGCGCAAGCGAAGCUCCUGAUCGAAGCCCCGGUAAACGGCGGCCGUAACUAUAACGGUCCUAAGGUAGCGAAAUUCCUUGUCGGGUAAGUUCCGACCUGCACGAAUGGCGUAAUGAUGGCCAGGCUGUCUCCACCCGAGACUCAGUGAAAUUGAACUCGCUGUGAAGAUGCAGUGUACCCGCGGCAAGACGGAAAGACCCCGUGAACCUUUACUAUAGCUUGACACUGAACAUUGAGCCUUGAUGUGUAGGAUAGGUGGGAGGCUUUGAAGUGUGGACGCCAGUCUGCAUGGAGCCGACCUUGAAAUACCACCCUUUAAUGUUUGAUGUUCUAACGUGGACCCGUGAUCCGGGUUGCGGACAGUGUCUGGUGGGUAGUUUGACUGGGGCGGUCUCCUCCUAAAGAGUAACGGAGGAGCACGAAGGUUGGCUAAUCCUGGUCGGACAUCAGGAGGUUAGUGCAAUGGCAUAAGCCAGCUUGACUGCGAGCGUGACGGCGCGAGCAGGUGCGAAAGCAGGUCAUAGUGAUCCGGUGGUUCUGAAUGGAAGGGCCAUCGCUCAACGGAUAAAAGGUACUCCGGGGAUAACAGGCUGAUACCGCCCAAGAGUUCAUAUCGACGGCGGUGUUUGGCACCUCGAUGUCGGCUCAUCACAUCCUGGGGCUGAAGUAGGUCCCAAGGGUAUGGCUGUUCGCCAUUUAAAGUGGUACGCGAGCUGGGUUUAGAACGUCGUGAGACAGUUCGGUCCCUAUCUGCCGUGGGCGCUGGAGAACUGAGGGGGGCUGCUCCUAGUACGAGAGGACCGGAGUGGACGCAUCACUGGUGUUCGGGUUGUCAUGCCAAUGGCACUGCCCGGUAGCUAAAUGCGGAAGAGAUAAGUGCUGAAAGCAUCUAAGCACGAAACUUGCCCCGA